RNAcentral lists this transfer RNA (67 nucleotides) under Pterygota sp. 3 LC-2017. RNAcentral describes it as "tRNA-Pro". Lineage: Eukaryota; Metazoa; Arthropoda; Insecta. The record is from RNAcentral.
CAGAAAAUAGUUUAUUUAAAAAUAUUAAUUUUGGGAAUUAUUGAAGAAUAGUUAUAUUCUUUUCUGA